GUGCUUGCUUCCAUAGUAUAUAAACUAAAAUUGGAAGGAUACAGAGAUUAGCAUGGCCCCCUCGCAAGGAUAAUUUGUAAUUCAUGAAGUGUUCCGUAUUUUU
This is a small nuclear RNA of Pteronotus mesoamericanus, 103 nucleotides long. The record is from RefSeq and is a predicted model, not a curated record. NCBI's taxonomy places the organism in Eukaryota, Metazoa, Chordata, Mammalia, Chiroptera, Mormoopidae.